Molecule: ribosomal RNA, 437 nt
Filed under: uncultured bacterium
Lineage: Bacteria
Description: partial 16S ribosomal RNA
Rfam family: Bacterial small subunit ribosomal RNA
Source: RNAcentral
GAUGAACGCUGGCGGCAUGCCUAACACAUGCAAGUCGGACGGGAAGUGGUGUAUCUUGUGGCGGUCGGGUGAGUAACGCGUAAGAACGUGACCUUGGGAGGGGCACCCCAACUGGCAACGGCUACUACUAGACCGCAGGCCGAGGAGCAGAAAAAGGAUUCAACCCCAGGAGGGGCAAGCGUCUGAUUGUCUAGUUGGUGCGUAAAUAGCUUACCAAGGCGAUGUUCAGUAGCGGGUCGGAGAGGGUGAUCAGCCACACUGGGACUGAGAGCCGGCGCAGACUCCUACGGGAGGCAGCAGUGGGGAAGUUGCCGCAAUGCGGGAAAGGCUGACGGGGCAAUGGCGCGUGGAGGUAGAAGGCCCACGGGUCGUGAACUGCGUUUCCCGGAGAAGAAGCAAUGACGGUAUCUGAGGAAUAAGCAACGGCUAACUCUGUG